This 443-nucleotide ribosomal RNA is filed under the name uncultured bacterium. RNAcentral describes it as "partial 16S ribosomal RNA". It matches the Rfam family "Bacterial small subunit ribosomal RNA", at positions 338 to 795 of the family's 1533-position model. The record is from RNAcentral.
CCUACGGGGGGCAGCAGUGGGGAAUAUUGGACAAUGGGGGGAACCCUGAUCCAGCGACGCCGCGUGAGUGAAGAAGUAUUUCGGUAUGUAAAGCUCUAUCAGCAGGGAAGAAAGAAAUGACGGUACCUGACUAAGAAGCCCCGGCUAACUACGUGCCAGCAGCCGCGGUAAUACGUAGGAGGCAAGCGUUAUCCGGAAUGACUGGGCGUAAAGGGUGCGUAGGUGGUUUGACAAGUUGGUAGCGUAACUCCGGGGCUCAACCUCGGCACUACUACCAAAACUGUCGGACUUGAGUGCAGGAGGGGCAAAUGGAAUUCCUAGUGUAGCGGUGGAAUGCGUAGAUAUUAGGAGGAACACCAGUGGCGAAGGCGAUUUGCUGGACUGUAACUGACACUGAGGCACGAAAGCGUGGGGAGCAAACAGGAUUAGAUACCCGAGUAGUC